GACGAACGCUGGCGGCGUGCUUAACACAUGCAAGUGGAGCGACGAACCAGGGCUUGCCCUGGGGCAGAGCCGCGAACGGGUGAGUAACACGUGGGUAACCUGCCCAGAUGACCGGGACAACCCGAGGAAACUCGGGCUAAUACCGGAUGUGCUGUCCCCACAUCAGUGGGGUUAGGACAGGUAGCUUCGGCCUCCGCGUCUGGAUGGGCCCGCGGCCCAUUAGCUUGUUGGUGAGGUAACGGCUCACCAAGGCUUCGAUGGGUAGCUGGUCUGAGAGGACGAUCAGCCACACUGGGACUGAGACACGGCCCAGACUCCUACGGGAGGCAGCAGUGGGGAAUCUUGCGCAAUGCGCGAAAGCGUGACGCAGCAACGCCGCGUGCGGGAAGACGGCCUUCGGGUUGUAAACCGCUUUCAGUUGGGACGAAGCCUUUGCGGUUAAUAGCCGUGGAAGGUGACGGUACCUUCAGAAGAAGCCCCGGCUAACUACGUGCCAGCCGCCGCCGUAA
RNAcentral lists this ribosomal RNA (509 nucleotides) under uncultured bacterium. RNAcentral's name for it is "partial 16S ribosomal RNA". It matches the Rfam family "Bacterial small subunit ribosomal RNA", at positions 28 to 523 of the family's 1533-position model. The record is from RNAcentral.